AGGUGGUGCAUGGCCGUCGUCAGUUCGUACCGUAAGGCGUUCUCUUAAGUGAGAUAACGAACGAGACCCUCACCGCUAAUUGCUAGUGUUCUCUCCGGAGGGCACGCACAUUAACGGGACCGCUGUCGCUAAGACAGAGGAAGGAGAGGUCAACGGUAGGUCCGUAUGCCCCGAAUCUCCUGGGCUACACGCGCGCUACAAAGGUUGGGACAAUGGGCUCCGACAUCGAAAGGUGAAGGCAAUCUCGAAACCCAAUCGUAGUUCGGAUUGAGGGUUGUAACUCACCCUCAUGAAGCUGGAUUCCGUAGUAAUCGCGGAUCAACAAUCCGCGGUGAAUAUGCCCCUGCUCCUUGCACACACCGCCCGUCAAACCACCCGAGUUGGGUUUCAGUAAGGAUAUCUCAUUUUGGGGUCUUCGAACUGAGAUUCAGCAAGGAGGGUUAAGUCGUAACAAGGUAUCUGUA
This 464-nucleotide ribosomal RNA is filed under the name Methanomassiliicoccales archaeon PtaB.Bin134. RNAcentral describes it as "bacterial SSU rRNA". It matches the Rfam family "Archaeal small subunit ribosomal RNA", at positions 985 to 1451 of the family's 1478-position model. Lineage: Archaea; Methanobacteriati; Thermoplasmatota; Thermoplasmata; Methanomassiliicoccales. The record is from RNAcentral.